RNAcentral lists this ribosomal RNA (253 nucleotides) under uncultured bacterium. RNAcentral's name for it is "partial 16S ribosomal RNA". It matches the Rfam family "Bacterial small subunit ribosomal RNA", at positions 524 to 776 of the family's 1533-position model. The record is from RNAcentral.
UACGGAGGAUGCAAGCGGUAUCCGGAAUGAUUGGGCGUAAAGCGUCCGCAGGUGGCUGUGUAAGUCUGCUGUUAAAGAGUCUAGCUCAACUAGAUAAAAGCAGUGGAAACUACACGGCUAGAGUACGUUCGGGGCAGAGGGAAUUCCUGGUGUAGCGGUGAAAUGCGUAGAGAUCAGGAAGAACACCGGUGGCGAAGGCGCUCUGCUAGGCCGUAACUGACACUGAGGGACGAAAGCUAGGGGAGCGAAUGGG